CCCCGCCUGGUCCUCACCGCUCCCAAUUCUUAUCAGUUUUCGCCAGGUGCACUGAAAUUUAUAGCAGAAUUGGGAGAAUUUGUCAAUGCUUUUAGGUACAAUAGUCUGUAAAAUUGAUCAGGAGACAUUCAAUCAGGAAGAAUUUGUUAAGAUCAAUAAUUAUAGCAAUCAGACAAGAUCACCACACCCUCACAAUUGGCAUCAGAAGAAAUAACUGGAGUGUAAUGAUCAAUUGGGAAACCUGUAAUGCAUGAGAAAAUGUUGUUGUUGCUGUCCUCCUGCUGAUGUUGUCCGAUUGUCCAAUUUAGAGAUGAUGAUCAUUGUUAUACACCAUUUGUCCAAUUGCAAACAUGCCUAAAGUUUCUGCGAGUCAAUGGAAACAAAUUCAAUACACCAUUUGAGAUCAAUACUUGGAUAUUUAAAGAACUUUAUAAAAAAGGUGUAUCCUGAUGAAUGAUGCCAACAAUAAGAAAAGCCAACAGUCUUGACAGUAAAUAAGAAUGAAAAUUGUGAAAAGUGUGAAUGACAGAUUAGUCUUGUCAUGCUUACACCUAGGGAGUAUCAGAUGACUUCUCCAAACUCCUCCAUUUGUAUGUGUGUAUUUCUAAUCCAUAUAUUUUUACUCCAUUUUUAUGAUCAUUCUCUGAUAGGAGAGUAGUAGGAGAGGAGAUGAGUGAAUUUAGAGAAGAGAAGAGAACAAGGAAAGUAGUGCUGCCACUCCUACAAGCAAGGAAUAACUGAAAAAAAAUUCAGUUAAUUAACUGAAAAUGAUGGAGGGCAAAAGGGGAGUACUUGCAAGCCCUACACUAAAACCUAAAUGUUUCAGUUAAAUUUAAUUAGUGGAAAAGAUUCACAUAGCAGGGUUUAUUUGACAUGGAGUAGUUUAUUUGAUAGGAGUAAACAUCCAUCUACUCCAUCUACAGCUAAUCCAUCUACUCAUGCAGUACAAAUAAUCCAUCUACAGAAGGAACAUGAAGCAAAAACAGAUCAAGAUGAUUUUACUCAAAAAAAAAGAUCAAGAAAAUGCAAGAUUACUUCUGAGUAUAUUGUUGAUGUACUCCAACUAAAUGAGUACACACAUACAGUACUCCUACUGCUUAAUGAUGCAUCUUAAUUAACAAAAAAUGUUUCAGUUAAUUUAAUGAUGCAUCUUAAUUUCUCAUAAAUUCGACGAAAGCAUCAAUGCUGACAGUAGGAAGAUGCAAAUACUCAAGCAGCAAAUUUUGAGUAGGAAACUGAAUCUCUAAAUACUGCUAACACUAAUAGGCCAAUAGCAAAUACUGCAUUUUUGGAGUGUUAACAAAUGUUCAGUAAUUUAUGGAGUACAGCAGCAAUAGCAUCACAUUAAGAAAGUGAGCUAAAUCAUCACAUUUUCAACUCAUUGCUGAAUCUUUUCAGUGAAACAGGGAGUACAACCAAAUUCAGUGAAUUAAGCUACUCCAUUUUGAAGUACUCCUCGAGUGCUCAAACAUGCAGAGAUACAAGUACUACUGCCAUAUCUUUUCAGAAGUUAACUAAGCAUGCAAAGCUGCAGAUUUGUACUCCCUAUUUCAGUGCAACACACCACUCCUACUCCAAACUGAAUUUCAGUACUGCAGCAGUGGCAUAACUACUCCUACUCCCAACUGAAUUUUACUCCAAACUGAAUUUAAGAAAGCGAACUGAAUUUCAAUGUUAACUUACUUGAGCAAUGUGAGCAUCAGUACAGAGAUGCUACAUCUCGUCUCCCACCUCUCGUUGGUGCAGCUAGUAGGUUGAUGAGGCAUCUACACAAGGCUUGCCAAAUCAAAAACAAGUCCAAUUCAAAAAAAACAUCAAAUCAAGUUCAGGGGCGCCUGCAUCAAACAGAGAAAGAGAGGAGAAGAGGGGAACCUGCUCUGCUUCGCUGAUCUACUGCUUGAAGUGAGGAGGAGAAGAAGAGAGCAAGGCGAAGCUACUGCUGUUGCCACACGUCGGGGAGGCGCCUUAUUUGAAGCUACUGCUGCUGCUUGAACCUGCUCUGAUGCGGCUAGGCACCUGCGGCCAAGUUAAAUCUGAUUACUCAUAUCGGGGAUGAGCAACAACGAGGGAGAGAGAGGAGGGGUGGUGUACCGCAGCUGCUGGCGUUGGAGAGGAGGGGCUGGCGUACCACAGCUGCUGGAUCGAGCCGCCGCGCUUCGGAUCCAGCCGCCGGAGUGGAGUAAAACUGAGAUCUUGAAGAGGGAGAGGUGACGGCGUACGUCAACAUGGAAAAGCGGCGACGGCGCGAGAGAGAGAGGCGGAGGCGCAGCGUGUGGGGUAGAGGCGCCGGCGACGUGUGCGAUGAGAGGCGGAGGCGCUGCUCUUCACCGGCGACGACGAGCUAGGGAUUCGGCAGAGUGAGGGGGAGGCAUGAGCGAGCGAGCGAGCGAGUGAGCGACUGAGUGAGCG
RNAcentral lists this long non-coding RNA (2409 nucleotides) under Triticum aestivum (bread wheat). RNAcentral describes it as "long non-coding RNA (TAES_LNC019987)". Lineage: Eukaryota; Viridiplantae; Streptophyta; Magnoliopsida; Poales; Poaceae. The record is from RNAcentral.